Molecule: long non-coding RNA, 627 nt
Filed under: Anas platyrhynchos platyrhynchos (common mallard)
Lineage: Eukaryota; Metazoa; Chordata; Aves; Anseriformes; Anatidae
Description: lncRNA (ENSAPLG00000023819.1)
Source: RNAcentral
AUGACUUUUUUUUCUUUUUUUAAAGGUGGAAGGAAUCUAAAGAACUGGAUACAGGUGGACUUGUCUGCUGUGUGUUCACAGAUGUAUUCACUGACUAGUACUGCAAAUGCUCCACCUAUAAACCUUGCAGAAGAUACCACAAUUGGUAAGUAUUCAUUUUUGAAUUGCAUUUGUUUAAAUUACAAUUCAUCACUUUCCAUGCUUACGGAUAUAGGUGGGUUACCUUCAUGAGGUGCAACUCCACACAGUUAUGUUAAGUAAAUCUGAAUCAAUAAUCUUUCUGAGUGUGAUUCCUGCAUGGUAAAAAUAGGAACUGUUAGGGGCCCAGUUGAAAACUCACGAUAGGAAGAAUUUUCAUAGUUCACCUGACUAAACCCAACCCUUGUAACAAUCAGUCUGGUUCCUUUUCCUGUUUCCUCAGUGUAACAUUUGGCAUACCUUAUUUUAAAAAGUCACCACAGAAUAAUACCUACAAAAUGCCUUGCAAAUCAAGGGCUAACUAGUAUGUUUAGUAGAUAUCAAAGUAGUAUCACGGAAAAUAUUAAAACGUGAAUCAAAUGCAGUACCUUUAGAAACUUUCCAACUUUGAAAUACCAUGUUUUCAAUACUACAAAAUUUAAGGCAGUG